CCUACGGGAGGCAGCAGUGAGGAAUAUUGGUCAAUGGACGAGAGUCUGAACCAGCCAAGUAGCGUGAAGGAUGACUGCCCUAUGGGUUGUAAACUUCUUUUAUAAAGGAAUAAAACGAGGCACGUGUGCCUUUUUGCAUGUACUUUAUGAAUAAGGAUCGGCUAACUCCGUGCCAGCAGCCGCGGUAAUACGGAGGAUCCGAGCGUUAUCCGGAUUUAUUGGGUUUAAAGGGAGCGUAGAUGGGUUGUUAAGUCAGUUGUGAAAGUUUGGGGCUCAACCGUAAAAUUGCAAUUGAUACUGGCAGUCUCGAGUACAGUUGAGGUAUGUGGAAUUCGUGGUGUAGCGGUGAAAUGCUUAGAUAUCACGAAGAACCCCGAUUGCGAAGGCAGCUUACUAAACUGUGACUGACAUUGAUGCUCGAAAGUGUGGGUAUCAAACAGGAUUAGAUACCCCUGUAGUC
Molecule: ribosomal RNA, 460 nt
Filed under: uncultured bacterium
Lineage: Bacteria
Description: partial 16S ribosomal RNA
Rfam family: Bacterial small subunit ribosomal RNA
Source: RNAcentral